CGUUCCCGGGCCUUGUACACACCGCCCGUCAAGUCACGAAAGUUGGUAACACCCGAAGCUCACGGCCCAACCCGCAAGGGAGGGAGUGGUCGAAGGUGGGACUGGCGAUUGGGACU
RNAcentral lists this ribosomal RNA (116 nucleotides) under uncultured bacterium. Its description in RNAcentral is "partial 16S ribosomal RNA". It matches the Rfam family "Bacterial small subunit ribosomal RNA", at positions 1369 to 1482 of the family's 1533-position model. The record is from RNAcentral.